Molecule: ribosomal RNA, 712 nt
Filed under: Burkholderia sp.
Lineage: Bacteria; Pseudomonadati; Pseudomonadota; Betaproteobacteria; Burkholderiales; Burkholderiaceae
Description: bacterial SSU rRNA
Rfam family: Bacterial small subunit ribosomal RNA
Source: RNAcentral
GCGGGGGGGCAGCUUACCAUGCAGUCGAACGGCAGCACGGGUGCUUGCACCUGGUGGCGAGUGGCGAACGGGUGAGUAAUACAUCGGAACAUGUCCUGUAGUGGGGGAUAGCCCGGCGAAAGCCGGAUUAAUACCGCAUACGAUCUACGGAUGAAAGCGGGGGACCUUCGGGCCUCGCGCUAUAGGGUUGGCCGAUGGCUGAUUAGCUAGUUGGUGGGGUAAAGGCCUACCAAGGCGACGAUCAGUAGCUGGUCUGAGAGGACGACCAGCCACACUGGGACUGAGACACGGCCCAGACUCCUACGGGAGGCAGCAGUGGGGAAUUUUGGACAAUGGGCGAAAGCCUGAUCCAGCAAUGCCGCGUGUGUGAAGAAGGCCUUCGGGUUGUAAAGCACUUUUGUCCGGAAAGAAAUCCUUGGCUCUAAUACAGUCGGGGGAUGACGGUACCGGAAGAAUAAGCACCGGCUAACUACGUGCCAGCAGCCGCGGUAAUACGUAGGGUGCGAGCGUUAAUCGGAAUUACUGGGCGUAAAGCGUGCGCAGGCGGUUUGCUAAGACCGAUGUGAAAUCCCCGGGCUCAACCUGGGAACUGCAUUGGUGACUGGCAGGCUAGAGUAUGGCAGAGGGGGGUAGAAUUCCACGUGUAGCAGUGAAAUGCGUAGAGAUGUGGAGGAAUACCGAUGGCGAAGGCAGCCCCCUGGGCCAAUACUGA